Molecule: ribosomal RNA, 434 nt
Filed under: uncultured bacterium
Lineage: Bacteria
Description: bacterial SSU rRNA
Rfam family: Bacterial small subunit ribosomal RNA
Source: RNAcentral
AUUGAACGCUGGCGGCAUGCCUUACACAUGCAAGUCGAACGGCAGCACGGGAGCAAUCCUGGUGGCGAGUGGCGAACGGGUGAGUAAUAUAUCGGAACGUGCCCAGUCGUGGGGGAUAACGUAGCGAAAGCUACGCUAAUACCGCAUACGAUCUAUGGAUGAAAGCGGGGGAUCGCAAGACCUCGCGCGAUUGGAGCGGCCGAUAUCAGAUUAGGUUGUUGGUGGGGUAAAAGCUCACCAAGCCUGCGAUCUGUAGCUGGUCUGAGAGGACGACCAGCCACACUGGAACUGAGACACGGUCCAGACUCCUACGGGAGGCAGCAGUGGGGAAUUUUGGACAAUGGGCGCAAGCCUGAUCCAGCAAUGCCGCGUGCAGGAUGAAGGCCUUCGGUUGUAACUGCUUUAUCUGGAGUAACACUCUAUUAUGGGUGUUG